AUUCCGUCAGACGUCUGCAGGAUUUGUCUUGUCUUUUUUUUUUUUUUUUUUUUUCUUCUUAAAUACAAAGAAGACCCAAAGGGUGGAUAAGUGUACGUUCAUUAUAAAUAAAUGGAAAGGGAAAGAAAAGACGAGUGAGGUGCUCAGCUUUAAGGGCUACUGGGAAAAACUGAACUCCAACCUAGAAUAUGUUAAGUACGCCAAGCCACACUUCCACUAUAACAACAGUGUGGUCAGGAGAGAGUGGCACAACCUGAUCUCUGAAGAGGUAUGAGUGGGUCAGUGAGAACAAAGCCAGCAGCGAGGCAUAGUGGACUGGAUCCAGGGCCAAGAUUAACACCCCUCCUGCAGGAGGAAGACAGCCACCAGCGGCUGCUCAUGGGGCUGAUGGUGUCUGAGCUAAAAGACCAUUUUUUGAGACACCUACAGGGUGUAGAAAAGAAGAAAAUUGAACAGAUGGUUCUGGACUACAUUUCAAAACUGCUGGAUCUCAUUUGCCACAUCGUAGAAACCAGUUGGAGGAAACAUAAUCUUCAUUCCUGGGUUCUCCACUUCAAUAGUCGUGGCAGUGCUGCUGAAUUUGCAGUUUUUCACAUCAUGACCAGGAUUCUGGAAGCUACAAACAGUUUGUUUUUACCUCUGCCUCCUGGUUUUCAUACUCUGCACACCAUCCUCGGGGUCCAGUGUCUCCCUUUGCAUAACCUGCUGCAUUGCAUUGACAGUGGAGUGUUGCUUCUCACUGAAACAGCUGUCAUAAGGCUCAUGAAAGAUCUGGAUAAUACAGAGAAAAAUGAAAAACUGAAAUUCAGUAUCAUUGUGCGGCUUCCUCCGCUUAUUGGGCAGAAGAUUUGUAGACUUUGGGAUCAUC
Molecule: small RNA, 868 nt
Filed under: Pan troglodytes (chimpanzee)
Lineage: Eukaryota; Metazoa; Chordata; Mammalia; Primates; Hominidae
Description: processed transcript
Source: RNAcentral